This 367-nucleotide ribosomal RNA is filed under the name uncultured bacterium. RNAcentral's name for it is "partial 16S ribosomal RNA". It matches the Rfam family "Bacterial small subunit ribosomal RNA", at positions 356 to 735 of the family's 1533-position model. The record is from RNAcentral.
UGGGAAUAUUGCGCAAUGGGCGGAAGCCUGACGCAGCAACGCCGCGUGCGGGAUGACGGCCUUCGGGUUGUAAACCGCUUUCAGCAGGGACGAAGCGUGAGUGACGGUACCUGCAGAAGAAGCACCGGCCAACUACGUGCCAGCAGCCGCGGUGAUACGUAGGGUGCGAGCGUUGUCCGGAAUUAUUGGGCGUAAAGAGCUCGUAGGUGGUUGAUCGCGUCGAAAGUGAAAUCUCAGGGCUUAACCCUGAGCGUGCUUUCGAUACGGGUCGACUAGAGGAAGGUAGGGGAGAAUGGAAUUCCUGGUGGAGCGGUGGAAUGCGCAGAUAUCAGGAGGAACACCAGUGGCGAAGGCGGUUCUCUGGACC